UUUCUCUUAGCUUAUAGUUAAAGCGUUAGUUUGAAGAGCUGAAGUUAAAUGUUAUUUAGGGAAAC
This 65-nucleotide transfer RNA is filed under the name Mesocestoides corti. It matches the Rfam family "tRNA". Rfam says of the family: Transfer RNA (tRNA) molecules are approximately 80 nucleotides in length. The record is from Rfam by way of RNAcentral. RNAcentral also lists the same sequence under 1 other name. Lineage: Eukaryota; Metazoa; Platyhelminthes; Cestoda; Cyclophyllidea; Mesocestoididae.